This 1092-nucleotide ribosomal RNA is filed under the name Triticum aestivum (bread wheat). RNAcentral's name for it is "partial small subunit ribosomal RNA". Lineage: Eukaryota; Viridiplantae; Streptophyta; Magnoliopsida; Poales; Poaceae. The record is from RNAcentral.
AUGGUCGUCUGCAAAUGCCGCAAGGCGACGAGGGUUUAUUGCUUCGUCCACCAGGUUCCGGUCUGCGGCGAGUGCAUCUGCUUCCCAGAACAUCAAUUAUGCGUGGUGAAAAACUAUGCUGAAUGGGUUGUUAAUUCUGAUUAUGACUGGCCACAACACUGCUCUUUGUGUAAUUUAGUUCUAGAAGCUGCAAGCGAAGAAACUACACGAUUGGGUUGCCUCCAUGUGAUGCACACAAAAUGCUUGAUAUCACAUGUCCAAAGUUUUCCGGCACAAACAGCACCAGCAGGAUUUGUCUGCCCCUCAUGUUCAAUUCCUAUAUGGCCUCCUUCGAGUAUUAAAGAUACAGGCUCCCGCCUCCAUGCUAAACUGAAGGAAGCAGUAGUCCAGACUGGUCUGGAGAAGAAUGUAUUUGGGAAUCAUUUUGUGACAAUGCCUAAAGCUGAUGCCCGCACACCCCCUGCAUUUGCUUCAGACCCCCUUAAGCGUCUAUCAUAUUCUGGUGAAUCUACUGAUGCAAACAUGCUUAACUCUUCGAAAGAUGCAACUUUAUCAUCAGCGGUACUCUCCCAGGGGGAUACAUAUCCUGCUGGGAUGUACUCUUCUGGGACUCUUAGUCACGUGGAACCAGAAAUAGUUGAAAUAGAUGGUCCUAGUACCAUAGCAACAAAGUUCCCAGAGCAGGAGCCCAAUUUCAUCAGAAGUCCAAGCCCGCACGGGCCUAGUGCCACGACAAGAAAAGGUGCUAACUAUGUUGAGAGACAAAAUUCAGAGAUGUCUUAUUAUGCUGAUGAUGAAGAUGCAAACCGCAAAAAGUACACUAAAAGGGGUACAUAUCGUCACAAAUUUUUAAGGAUGCUGCUACCUUUUUGGUCUAGUGCACUGCCAACAUUACCAGUUACAGCACCCCCUAAAAAGGAAAAUGAUGCUCCAGAAGGCCGGUCACGACAUCAGAGGACAUCACGAAUCGAUCCCACAAAGAUCUUACUUGCAAUGGCAAUCAUGGCAUGUAUAGCAACGAUGGGGAUUCUCUACUACCGGUUGUCACAGCGCGGUCUUUCUGAAAACUUUGCCGAUGAUGAGGCUCAGUAG